UGCUCCCCCGUGACCUCCCCGUGCCUCCUGUCCGCCGCUUCUUUAGGUUUAAAAAGUAUUUCGGCCUACCCAGAUAACGUGAGUGCCUGCCCGCUGCAGAGAGAGCCGGGUGGGCCUGUGCCCCCCCGGUCAGUGGGGGCCGUGGUCGGGAGGCGGGCGCUGUCGGGGGCGGGUUUGGGUUUUGUAUUUUGUUAAAUCGGUCAGAAGAGGCGUCACCGAAGAGCUGGAGCGUCCGAUCGGGUGAAGGAGGAGCUGUUGUGCGAGAAGACAGUAGUGAAGAAAGAGUAUGUAAGAAUCUAUUCUCUUCCACCAGCUGUAGUAGGAGAGUUCUGGGCUAUGUGAUUAUCUGCCUCUUACCAGACUAGGAUCGGACUACAUGGAACUCUGGUAAUUAGAC
This 397-nucleotide long non-coding RNA is filed under the name Aquila chrysaetos chrysaetos. Its description in RNAcentral is "lncRNA (ENSACCG00020015640.1)". Lineage: Eukaryota; Metazoa; Chordata; Aves; Accipitriformes; Accipitridae. The record is from RNAcentral.